This 403-nucleotide ribosomal RNA is filed under the name bacterium. RNAcentral describes it as "partial 16S ribosomal RNA". It matches the Rfam family "Bacterial small subunit ribosomal RNA", at positions 355 to 776 of the family's 1533-position model. The record is from RNAcentral.
UGGGGAAUAUUGCACAAUGGGGGAAACCCUGAUGCAGCGACGCCGCGUGAACGAAGAAGGUAUUCGUAUCGUAAAGUUCUGUCCUAUGGGAAGAUAAUGACAGUACCAUAGAAGAAAGCUCCAGCUAAAUACGUGCCAGCAGCCGCGGUAAUACGUAUGGAGCGAGCGUUGUCCGGAAUUAUUGGGCGUAAAGGGUACGCAGGCGGUUUAAUAAGUCGAAUGUUAAAGAUCGGGGCUCAACCCCGUAAAGCAUUGGAAACUGAUAAACUUGAGUAGUGGAGAGGAAAGUGGAAUUCCUAGUGUAGUGGUGAAAUACGUAGAUAUUAGGAGGAAUACCAGUAGCGAAGGCGACUUUCUGGACACAAACUGACGCUGAGGUACGAAAGCGUGGGGAGCAAACAGG